AGUGAACGCUGGCGGCAGGCCUAAUACAUGCAAGUCGAACGGCAGCACAGCAGAGCUUGCUCUGUGGGUGGCGAGUGGCGGACGGGUGAGGAAUACAUGGGAAUCUGCCCAGUCGUGGGGGAUAACGUAUGGAAACGUACGCUAAUACCGCAUGCGCCCUAAGGGGGAAAGCCGGGGACCGCAAGGCCUGGCGCGAUUGGAUGAGCCCAUGUUCGAUUAGCUAGUUGGCGGGGUAAAGGCCCACCAAGGCGACGAUCGAUAGCUGGUCUGAGAGGAUGAUCAGCCACACUGGAACUGAGACACGGUCCAGACUCCUACGGGAGGCAGCAGUAGGGAAUAUUGGACAAUGGGGGCGAACCCUGAUCCAGCCAUGCCGCGUGAGUGAAGAAGGCCCUCGGGUUGUAAAGCUCUUUUGUCCGGAAGAAAAGCAAUCGGUUAAUACCGGUUGUCCUGACGGUACCGGAACGAAUAAGCACCGG
Molecule: ribosomal RNA, 479 nt
Filed under: uncultured bacterium
Lineage: Bacteria
Description: bacterial SSU rRNA
Rfam family: Bacterial small subunit ribosomal RNA
Source: RNAcentral